CUGCGCUUCUCGGUCUCGACAGCAGCCUCUUCGUUCCUCUGGAGGAAUCGCACCGGAAUCAUCGCUGUAAAACACCAAGACACAUCUUUCCACGCACACCUGUGAGCAGGGUCGCGGCAAGCUGGAGCGUUACCCAGCAGCGCAGGGCCGAGGGGACGCACCUAGGACGGGACGCCAGACCGUCACAAGGCACUCCAAGCAGGGCUUGAACCCCAGACCCGCCGGACAGCAGGCACUGGCCAAACUUGCCACGCCACCGUGUCCCCCGGCACUGCAAACCGGAGCCUAACCCAGCAACACAGGGCGCAAGGCGGGACACCAGUUCAUCACAAGGCACCCCAACCAGGACUCCAACUCUAGACCCGCCAGAGAGCAGGACCUGACCAAACCCGCUGUGCCACCGCACUGCCACGCCCCCUUCUCAUUUAUACAG
Molecule: long non-coding RNA, 433 nt
Filed under: Scleropages formosus (Asian bonytongue)
Lineage: Eukaryota; Metazoa; Chordata; Actinopteri; Osteoglossiformes; Osteoglossidae
Description: lncRNA (ENSSFOG00015033238.1)
Source: RNAcentral